This is a non-coding RNA of Macaca mulatta (Rhesus monkey), 4478 nucleotides long. The record is from RefSeq and is a predicted model, not a curated record. Lineage: Eukaryota; Metazoa; Chordata; Mammalia; Primates; Cercopithecidae.
AAGAAUACCUUGCGCUUUCAAAGUCAGUGACCUUCCAAAGCUUCCUGGGAUGUGUGGAGUUAAAUUAUGUUUAUACAACUUUUAACCACGCCACCAAUUUAGUACCUAAUAAGCCUAACUGAUGACGUCUGUAACAGUCAGCGUUUGCUGUGUAACAAAUAACCCUAGAAGCACUACAUACAUGUGAAUGGAGCCUUAACAGCCAAGAAGCAAUCUUAGCAGAGAUGAGAUGGAACCCUCAGAAUUCUCAAACCUGUCCCUGCUCCCUCCAGAAAGUGUUCGUCCUCCUCGGAAUGAUGCAGGUGUGAGCUGUAGCACGGCUUCCAUCUAUGCAUGUUGGUCAGUCCACCUGAACCUCACAGAUUGAGACUACCACGGGUCUCCAGGGGAAAAGAGAGAUGCUGUCACCAGAAAAAGGGACAUUGAGUGCUAGACAUCCAAAAACAACAGAUGACUCUGCAGUCCUCCCCCAGCUACCACUCGCCGAGAGGCAAAAAUCCACAGUGCAUCGACAAUCACUUCUUUAGCAUGAGGAAUAGAGUGAUUUCUUAUUAGGUAAAACCUCUUCCAACUGUGAACCCCUGGAAAAUUUCAGGAUUUGAUCGAAACUAUUUUUAAAAACAAAACCUGGAACUUUCAGCUGUCCUGAUCCUAGACCAGGAAAGCAGGAGCAGCUUUCCACUUUGCUGCAGGAGCCUGCUUCUUUCCUGAGGCUGGUGAAGGAGGCUGUGCUCCGGAAUGGUAAAAGUUGGAGGGUCACAGCCCCUGGGGAAUUACCACAGUGACAGUAAAAACCACAAUGACCCUCAAAGGUGUCCUAACCACAUGCCAGGAGCUGCUCUCACUUAACCAGAGUUCACUUCCUGUUAGCCAAGAUCUUUUUGGUAGUGACAGAAAUUCAACCCAGACUGGCUUGUUGUCAAGAGGAAUUUAAGAACUUGAGGAAGUGAGGUUGGGCUUAAAUAGGUUCGUUCAAACGUGGCCAGAUCAGGAUUUCAGUGACAUCGGCACCUAUAUCUCUCUCUGACUCUCUGAUCAGCAGCAAUAUUGUUCCAAAUACCACUUCAUUUGUAGGAUGUCUUGGCCCCUCACAGAGCCCCCAGCAUCUACAAUUUUACCCAGGAUCUAGUGGGCUCUUGGAAAACAAACUAGAGAAUGGCCGACUGUGAAAAAGAAAUGUCUUGUGCAUAACAGCUUCUUGGACAAGACAUUUCCACCUGGAAACUUGAAAACCAAUCUAUAUGCACUUGGCUUCAGCAGGAAAAGACCCAGGAAGGACUGAGCCAGAGCCUGAGGUAUCUCCUCCCUAGCAUUCCCCUCGGAAGCAAGGAGAAGGUUAGCCCACUUCUCAGAGGAGAAUCCAUCUGCUCCUUUACCAAUCCGCACCCUGUCACCUGUCAUCCCUCUUUUUGCUCUCUGUGCAUCAGCUAAAUAAGUUAUUCUCCACCAUUUGGCCUUCAAAGAGCAGAAGCAGAAGUGUUUCAGAACAAGCCAUGCAAUCCACUAUGAACGCUUCCAUCUCCAGGUGCUGUGGCUCCCUCUAAUCCCCCCGUGAUUCACCCACUUUAAAAUUCCCGCUUUCCUCCCACUUGUUGAAAUGUAAGGAGCACCACGUCACCACGUAAUUAAUUCCCUAAUCCCUAGUUUGAAAACUUAUUUUUUAAAGGUGGUUGUUUUAAACAAAAGCAAAAAAGAAUAUCACGGUGUGAAGCCAUGCCGGGUCAUGGAGGGAAAAAGCAACAGAUGAAGAUGAUGGAUGAGACUUUCUGCAUGCUUUUUUAAAAUGAGUUUUUAAGGUAACUUGCAAAAUGCAUCCAGGGGCAGUGAUGAUUAAUUUAUGUAUGUAAUCUCACUCAUGUGUGACAAACAGCAGUUAGAAAUCACCCACAAUAACCCGUACACAUCUUCCCUUGUUAUCCAAGACUUAAUAAGAGAAAUCCUUGUCUGAUCUUUAUUAGUGAAGCAGCUUUUUAUGAAAUAUACUUCAGAUCAGCAGCAAAUUCAAUGGCUGCAAAGUCAACAGGAAAGCAGCAUGUCAAAACGGAUUCAUCACCUGCACUUUUAGUGCUUUCAGAUCAUUUUCUAAUUCACCAGUGUGCUGGUUUUCCAUGACAAUGCUCCAUGUUUGUCCACAUUUAAUAUGAAGAAAUUGAAUCGAUAAAAGAAAAGGAGGCUCGGGCACCUUGUAGGUCAGGGAGUGUGUUAUUGGCUAUUUCAGUAAAUAAUUGCUUUUAAUCUAGUUUAAAGCUCCGUAGCCCCACGGGCUUCGCUGGCUUCUUCUUGUUUGUUCUGUGAUAAAGGUACACUUCACAUCUUAUAAUACAUUUGUGAAAUGUCCACAUUUGGGAAUUAAAUCACAGUUGUAGCACAGUCAAGAUAUUUACUUUCCAAGCUGAAGCUCCCCCAGGGUGGGAACCUGCGUUGUCCCUGGCCACAUCCCCAGAACUGUGUUUCCCACAGAGCAGGUUGCAGCCAACAACUGCUGAAUCAGUGAAAUCUCCCCAAAAGGCUCCUAUGGCGUUUUAUUGAGGAGUCCUUGGAUUGAUAAAUUUGUGUAAUCCCGAAUUCUCCACACUGAGCUUUCCUGAAGUAUCCCCGGGAGGGGGAAGCCAUUUUCUCAGAUCAUGGGGAGAAAGCUGGGGUCGGGCUAGAAGACAAACCCUCAGCACAUCAAAGUGGAGUGGCCAUUUGGUUGCCUUCUCCAGGUUUCUGAACACACCAUUCUCUCUAUAUGAAUGUAUUUUACAUUCGGAUAACUGUCGAAAGGUACCUCUUGUGGAGACAGGGCCAGGAUCGUGGUAGGGUGGGUAGAACCGCUCCACCUGCCCCUCUCAUCGGCCGCACCACAGGCAUUUCUGUGUGUGCUGUUUUCUCAUUUUACUCAAUGUUCUCUCCACUGAAUAGGGAUCCAAAAUCCCACACUUGGCAAUGUAAUGAUUUUCAAAAAGCCUCUCCUCCAAUUUUCCUUUCAUCUAUCGCUGCUAUCUUCCCCAACAAAGAGAGCUGGCAAUUCAGCCUCAAGAAGACGCGAUGUCAUUGUUCUCUAGUUAGAACAGGAAGCCUCUCGCCGGUCCCCCAGAGUUGCCAUGAGGACACUCUCCACGCAGAUUUCAUCUGGACAUCAACUCAGAAAUUUUUGUGCCACGUUGAGGCACAAUAUCCGCUGAGGAUAUUAAGGAAGAAAAAAUAAUCUCUUGAUGGAACAUAGAAAUGAAACCUAAACGUGGCCCCGAGCUCUGAGUGCUUAUGGGCAUUUAUCAGCAGGUUCAAGGGCAACAGUGCCUCAGGUGCAGAAGCUGUGUGAUGCAUUCAGAACCCUUCAUUUCAUCUGAAGCUGCGCACCUUAAAUUCCCAGCCUUUCUUACAAAAAGUGAGGGGCAGGAACUUGGAGAGGGAAAGGGCUUUUGAGUAUCUGUCCCAGUAACAAAAGAUUUCGGCUCCCUUCAGGUAGCCACAUCCCCUCCAAAAACAGCUCAAAACAGUUAACUUCUGCAAUACAGGAGUGGAAGUCAUUCCAUUUACGGGCCUACAGAGUCAAGAAACAAGGGCCUCCUUGGAACAUGAGAGCCAGUCCUUUGGUACAGUCUCUCCAGGACAUCUCGGCCAUUUAUUAGGCAGAAUUGGACACCUGCCACUCGGCAGGGUGGGCCUGGGAAGACUCAUACACACACACCUAGUCAGGGCAGCAUCUGCUUCCACAGGGUGCCCAAGCCCACUUCCACUUCUCCUUCCCACAAGUAAAUUAGCUUAAAAGAUUGAAGGCACAUUAUCUCUACUCCUAACCACAAAGACUUGGGGUUGUAUGGGUUGUCAAGGCAACAAUAGCAGUUUUCUCUCUGACUCUUUAAUGCCGAGAUUUAUGUUUCCAUAGUUACGAGAAAUCCCUAGUUCUUCAAGAUAACAUAAACUGGUCUCCCAAAACUUUCAGGGAUGAGAUUGUCGCCACUGGCCAAAAACCACAUACACUGGCAUUGAAGACCCCUGUGCCUACCUGCUCACCAUUACCCUGGAGCUGGGUUUCUGCACCCCUUCCUGUUCUUGAGGUCACAUUCGUAGUUAGGAGUGGCUCCUUUAGUUAGUUAGGCCACUCCAGGGAUUUGCAAAGUCAGGAAGUUAGAAUGGACCCAGGAACUAGAGCUCCCUUAAACUAUCAGGCUGAAUUUGUUAGAACCACUGCAGCCAAAGCCACCACAAAGAACUCUGCCAAGUCAAAGUCACCCCUUAGGGGCUGGACACAGCAAUGACACAGGGUCAGGGCCCUUGGAGAAAUGGAACUAUCUGGAGCCCCCAAGAUUACAUUCCUGGGUCUUCCACUCCCAACCAGACCCAAGCUCUGUAACCUCAAUUUCUAGAAUCCAGGAGUUCAUUUUUUUCUCAGAAUUAACUCAUGUGGACCUAACCUUUCAGACAUUUGUACAACUGGGCUCACAGAAUUUUGUUUAGGCCAAUUGGUUAAUACAUCACUUCUCUACAACUUG